Octopus sinensis (East Asian common octopus) is the source of this 1424-nucleotide long non-coding RNA. RefSeq lists it as uncharacterized. The transcript has 3 exons. The record is from RefSeq and is a predicted model, not a curated record. NCBI's taxonomy places the organism in Eukaryota, Metazoa, Mollusca, Cephalopoda, Octopoda, Octopodidae.
UAUGUCUCCUUGCUUCUAACUGUUCUCCUGUGUUUAACACAUUAUAUUUCUUUUACCUCUCAGCUCUAUCAAUCUCCCUUCACUCUCUCUUUCUCUUUCUCUCACCCCCUCUUACUUCCUCCUCUUUGCUGCUUUGCCUCUCACUUCAACUAUAAUUCCUCUGCUUCUGUCCCUCCCCUCUCUCCUGCUUUGCCACUAACUUCAAGUAUACCUCCUCUGCUUAAUACCUUUUAUUUCUCUUUUUCUUUGUACCUCUCCCUUCAACCUUUUUACCUCUUCCUUUGAAGUAAGUGUGACACACCACAGAAAUCAUUAUUUGUGGUGGAAGGGUAAUUGACCAGGCACAGGAAGACCAGAUGGGACAGCACGUCAGGAAGCAACUGGAAGCAUCAACAUACCAAAGAUCCGCACUUGGAGGUGUAUUUCUGCAAAAUGUGAGGGGGGAUGAGGAGAAUGAUCCCAAACCUCUUAAUAUUUUUCUUUUAAUGUUAACAAUCAUAAUACAUAUUCCUCGAAAAUUAUAUCUGCAAAAUUUCAUAAGGAAUAUGUAUUUUUCAGAAAAUUAUGCAGUAAAUAUGCUUUCAAGAGUGUAGAUUAUACAAGACGUACCCCACCCGAUUUUGUUUCCACAUAACUUUCAGAAAAAUGGGUACUUUUUUAAUGAAAUUUUCUACAAAUAUGUUUAGGAUGGUGUAGAUCCCGAUAAUAUCGGGACUUGCGAAAAAACCUUUCUACGAGUGGGGAGAGGAGUUACAAGAAAUUCACACAAGUCGUCUUUCUUUAUAACUUUAAAAAUGGGUAUUUUUUAGUGAAAUUUUCCACAAAUAACCUUAAGAGUGUAGAUUACGAUCAUAUGAGAAUUUAAUGUUAAAAAAAAAAAACAAUGUAAAGAAUACGCAUACCCGGUGGUCAAGGUGAGGGUUAAGCCGAAAACGGGUGGUAUGCGUAUUCUUUACCUCUGCUCGCACACAUGCAUAUUGGACACAUCAUAUAUUUACAAAAUCAAACUUGAAAUUUCGAAACAUUUGUGAUGUGUACGUGCUCACCCUUUUUCUUUACACCUCAAAUUCCAAUAUAAUCGUAAUCUACACACCCUGAAAGGUAUUUGUAGAAAAUUUCAUUAAAAAAAUAUAAUUUUUUCUGAAAGUUAUGAGAAAACAAAGUCGACUCGUGUGAAUUUUCUGAAACUCCUCUCCCCACUUCUGGGAAAUGUUUUGCACAACAAAUUCCGAUGUAAUCGAAAUCUACACUAUCUGAAGUGUGUUUGUAGGAAAUUUUAUUUUAAAAUAUUCAUUUUUCUGGAAGUUAUGAGGAAACAAAUUUGAGGAGGGAGGCACGAACAGAAAAAAAUCAAAAAGGCUACACUUAAGGAAAUUGGCAGAACAAAAUCGAAUCAGAGAAAAAGGGAAGAACGACACGAAACU